GGAAAACAGCAGAGCUGACAGUCAGAACAGCCGUGCUUCAAGCGUUCCUGGAGCCCAAGCUCUCCUCCACAGGUGAAGACAGGGCCAGCAGCAGACACCAUGGGGCACCUCUCAGCCCCACUUCACAGAGUGCGUGUCCCCUGGCAGGGGCUUCUGCUCACAGCCUCACUUCUAACCUUCUGGAACCCACCCACCACUGCCCAGCUCACUACUGAAUCCACGCCAUUCAAUGUCGCAGAGGGGAAGGAGGUUCUUCUACUCGUCCACAAUCUGCCCCAGAAUCCUCUUGGCUACAACUGGUACAAAGGGGAAAUGGUGGACGCCAACCAUCGAAUUAUAGGAUAUGUAAUAUCAGAUCAACUAACUACCCCAGGGCCUGCAUACAGCAGUCGAGAGAAAAUAUACCCCAAUGCAUCCCUGCUGAUCCAGAACGUCACCCAGAAUGACACAGGAUUCUACACCCUACAAGUCAUAAAGUCAGAUCUUGUGAAUGAAGAAGCAACUGGACAGUUCCAUGUAUACCCGGAGACUCCCAAGCCCUUCAUCUCCAGCAACAACUCCAACCCCGUGGAGGACAACGAUGCUGUGGCCUUAACCUGUGAACCUGGGACUCAGGACACAACCUACCUGUGGUGGAUAAACAAUCAGAGCCUCCUGAUCAGUCCCAGGCUGCAGCUGUCCAAUGGCAACAGGACCCUCACUCUACUCAGUGUCACAAGGAAUGACGCAGGACCCUAUGAGUGUGAAAUACAGAACCCAGUGAGUGCGAACCGCAGUGACCCAGUCACCUUGAAUGUCACCUAUGGCCCGGACACCCCCACCAUUUCCCCUUCAGACACCUAUUACCGUCCAGGGGCAAACCUCAGCCUCUCCUGCUAUGCAGCCUCUAACCCACCUGCACAGUACUCCUGGCUUAUCAAUGGAACAUUCCAGCAAAGCACACAAGAGCUCUUUAUCCCCAACAUCACUGUGAAUAAUAGUGGAUCCUAUACCUGCCACGCCAAUAACUCAGUCACUGGCCGCAACAGGACCACAGUCAAAACGAUCAUAGUCACUGGUAAGUAAUUCCUGGAGCAUCAACACUAAGAUCUGGGGUACAAGCUUUCUGGUUUUCAAAUAGGAGCAGAGAGGAAAUUUUCCUUUCCAGCCUGUAUCCAACAGGCACAAACAAGUCCAAAUUCUCCCCUGAACCCUCUCAAUUCAUCUCUGCAGACUCUCUUCCCUUUGUUUUUCUGAUUUCUCACAGCUGACCUUAGGUCCAGCCUGGAAUGUGGCGAGGGGGUUCUCUCAGCCCCACAAAGCCCCAUGUAGCAGGACGGGCUUCACAGAGGGGGAAGCAGAAAGGGUCCUCAAGGUCAAUUUGCUUCUGUUACUAACAUGUCCCUUCUGUAACUUCUUGGCCUUCUUUUACCUACUCCAUGAGAUAUAAGGAAUAUGUGAGAUUUUAAAACAGACUCACAAUAGUUUUCCCUAAAUUAGAGAAGGAAAUGCCCUUCAUCAGAGAUGAGCAGCUCAGACUCUGCUCCCUGCUCUACUCCCGGCUUGCCCGGUGAUUGGCUCUGCCCUGACCCCAUGUGGGGUAGGACGCAGGUGUGUGUGGAAGGUGUCCAGGUGGCCUGUCAUGAAUCCAGCUAAAUCAAGAUGGCAGUCAAUGGCUGGGUGCUGUGGUUCAUGCCUGUGAUUCCAGCACUUUGGAAGGCCAAGGUGGGAGGAUCACCUGAGGUCAGGAGUUCGAGACCAGCCUGACCAACAUGGCAAAACUCCAUCUCUACUAAAAAUAC
RNAcentral lists this small RNA (1781 nucleotides) under Pongo abelii (Sumatran orangutan). RNAcentral describes it as "retained intron". Lineage: Eukaryota; Metazoa; Chordata; Mammalia; Primates; Hominidae. The record is from RNAcentral.